UGGGGAAUAUUGGGCAAUGGGGGAAACCCUGACCCAGCAACGCCGCGUGAGGGAAGAAGGUUUUCGGAUUGUAAACUUCUGUCCUCAGGGAAGAAGGAAGUGACGGUACCGGAGGAGGAAGCCCCGGCUAACUACGUGCCAGCAGCCGCGGUACUACGUAGGGGGCGAGCGUUGUCCGGAAUGACUGGGCGUAAAGGGCGCGUAGGCGGUCAUUUAAGUCUGGAGUGGAAGUCCUGCUUUCAAGGUGGGAAUUGCUUUGGAAACUGGUUGGCUUGAGUGCGGAAGAGGUAAGUGGAAUUCCCAGUGUAGCGGUGAAAUGCGUAGAGAUUGGGAGGAACACCAGUGGCGAAGGCGACUUACUGGGCCGUAACUGACGCUGAGGCGCGAAAGCGUGGGGAGCGAACAGG
Molecule: ribosomal RNA, 407 nt
Filed under: uncultured prokaryote
Also listed under: 1 other name
Description: bacterial SSU rRNA
Rfam family: Bacterial small subunit ribosomal RNA
Source: RNAcentral